GCUAGCGUAGCUUAAGACAAAGCAUGGCAGUGAAGAUGCCAAGUUGGGUUGUGAAAAACUCCGCAUGCA
Molecule: transfer RNA, 69 nt
Filed under: Opsaridium ubangiense
Lineage: Eukaryota; Metazoa; Chordata; Actinopteri; Cypriniformes; Danionidae
Description: tRNA-Phe
Source: RNAcentral